UCAGGAUGAACGCUAGCGGCAGGCUUAACACAUGCAAGUCGAGGGGUAACAGGUAGCUUGCUAUGCUGACGACCGGCGAACGGGUGCGUAACGCGUAUAGAAUCUGCCUUGUACAGGAGGAUAGCCUUUAGAAAUGAAGAUUAACACUCCAUAAUGUUAAUGAGUGGCAUCACUUAUUAAUUAAACAUUUAUGGGUACAAGAUGACUAUGCGUCCUAUUAGCUAGAUGGUAAGGUAACGGCUUACCAUGGCAACGAUAGGUAGGGGGUCUGAGAGGAUUAUCCCCCACACUGGUACUGAGACACGGACCAGACUCCUACGGGAGGCAGCAGUGAGGAAUAUUGGUCAAUGGAGGCAACUCUGAACCAGCUAUGCCGCGUGCAGGAAGACUGCCCUAUGGGUUGUAAACUGCUUUUAUACAGGAAGAAACCGAUCUACGUGUAGAUCCUUGACGGUACUGUAAGAAUAAGGACCGGCUAACUCCGUGCCAGCAGCCGCGGUAAUACGGAGGGUCCAAGCGUUAUCCGGAAUCAUUGGGUUUAAAGGGUCCGCAGGCGGUCAAUUAAGUCAGAGGUGAAAGCCCAUCGCUCAACGAUGGAACUGCCUUUGAUACUGGUUGACUUGAGUUAUACGGAAGUAGAUAGAAUAAGUAGUGUAGCGGUGAAAUGCAUAGAUAUUACUUAGAAUACCGAUUGCGAAGGCAGUCUACUACGUAUAUACUGACGCUCAUGGACGAAAGCGUGGGGAGCGAACAGGAUUAGAUACCCUGGUAGUCCACGCCGUAAACGAUGGAUACUAGUUGUUGGGUUUCGACUCAGUGACUAAGCGAAAGUGAUA
RNAcentral lists this ribosomal RNA (836 nucleotides) under uncultured Tenacibaculum sp. RNAcentral's name for it is "bacterial SSU rRNA". It matches the Rfam family "Bacterial small subunit ribosomal RNA", at positions 24 to 862 of the family's 1533-position model. Lineage: Bacteria; Pseudomonadati; Bacteroidota; Flavobacteriia; Flavobacteriales; Flavobacteriaceae. The record is from RNAcentral.